UAGGGAAUCUUCGGCAAUGGGGGCAACCCUGACCGAGCAACGCCGCGUGAGUGAAGAAGGUUUUCGGAUCGUAAAGCUCUGUUGUAAGAGAAGAACGUGUGUGAGAGUGGAAAGUUCACACAGUGACGGUAACUUACCAGAAAGGGACGGCUAACUACGUGUCAGCAGCCGCGGUAAUACGUAGGUCCCGAGCGUUGUCCGGAUUUAUUGGGCGUAAAGCGAGCGCAGGCGGUUUAAGAAGUCUGAAGUUAAAGGCAGUGGCUUAACCAUUGUUCGCUUUGGAAACUGUUAAACUUGAGUGCAGAAGGGGAGAGUGGAAGUCCAUGUGUAGCGGUGAAAUGCGUAGAUAAAUUGAGGAACACCGGUGGCGAAAGCGGCUCUCUGGUCUGGAACUGACGCUGAGGCUCGAAAGCGUGGGGAGCAAACAGG
RNAcentral lists this ribosomal RNA (429 nucleotides) under bacterium. RNAcentral's name for it is "partial 16S ribosomal RNA". It matches the Rfam family "Bacterial small subunit ribosomal RNA", at positions 355 to 776 of the family's 1533-position model. The record is from RNAcentral.